GCAGGAUGGAAACGUGAGAUGUCCCCCCUGGGAAAGGUGUAGCACUUAACGUUGGAGCUGAGAGAGGCACGAAGCAGCGGUGACGUCUCUGUUGGCAACGUUGUCCCGUCUCCACCAGAGCCCUCCAGCGAAGUUUUCCUCCUCUCCCCUCCUACACCCGCGCUCUCCUGCCAACACCGCGCCCUUCUGGCAGCUUCAGAGACGAAAUCGGUGGCGCUGAGCAGCUCCAACCUCUGGGCGGUGAGGUCGGCACAGGCGAAGUUGUUGAGCAGGGCGCCGUACUUCUGCUCGCACAGCAUUGCGGAGCGCACUGCCGGCCAGAGCUCCUGCAGCUGCAGGCUGUACGUGGUGUCGAAGUGGUGCAGCGCCAGGCGUGGGGCCGGGAUGCGCGGGGCGGUGGUGGCCCACUUCUUCUUGUAGAGGUACCGCCGAGGCACCGGGCUCAGCCCCGGCACACGACCGACCCGCAGCAGCACCGCCGCCCGCCCGCUCGGUGCCGCCAUGGCUGAGCUCAGCAGCGCCUUCCGGGGCGGGACCGGAGCUGCCAGCACUGCC
This 555-nucleotide long non-coding RNA is filed under the name Gallus gallus (chicken). The record is from RNAcentral. Lineage: Eukaryota; Metazoa; Chordata; Aves; Galliformes; Phasianidae.